RNAcentral lists this ribosomal RNA (638 nucleotides) under uncultured fungus. Its description in RNAcentral is "eukaryotic LSU rRNA". It matches the Rfam family "Eukaryotic large subunit ribosomal RNA", at positions 1 to 634 of the family's 3401-position model. Lineage: Eukaryota; Fungi. The record is from RNAcentral.
UUGACCUCAAAUCAGGUAGGAUUACCCGCUGAACUUAAGCAUAUCAAUAAGCGGAGGAAAAGAAACUAACAAGGAUUCCCCUAGUAACUGCGAGUGAAGCGGGAAGAGCUCAAAUUUAAAAUCUGGUGGUCCUCGCGGCCGUCCGAGUUGUAAUCUGGAGAAGCGUUUUCCGCGUCGGACCGUGUACAAGUCUUCUGGAAUGGAGCGUCGUAGAGGGUGAGAAUCCCGUCUCUGACACGGACCGCCGAUGCUUUUGUGAUACGCUCUCGAAGAGUCGAGUUGUUUGGGAAUGCAGCUCAAAACGGGUGGUAAAUUCCAUCUAAAGCUAAAUAUUGGCGAGAGACCGAUAGCGAGCAAGUACCGUGAGGGAAAGAUGAAAAGCACUUUGGAAAGAGAGUUAAACAGUACGUGAAAUUGUUGAAAGGGAAACGUUUGAAGUCAGUCGCGUCGGUCGAGACUCAACCUUGCUCUUCUGCUCGGUGCACUUCUCGGCCGACGGGUCAGCAUCAAUUUUGACCGUCGGAUAAAGGCCGAGGGAAUGUGGCAUCUUUCGGGAUGUGUUAUAGCCUUCGGUUCGCAUACGGCGAUCGGGAUUGAGGAACUCAGCGCGCCUUCAUUGGUCGGGGCUUCGGCUCACG